AGUGAACGCUGGCGGUAGGCCUAACACAUGCAAGUCGAACGGCAGCACAGGAGAGCUUGCUCUCUGGGUGGCGAGUGGCGGACGGGUGGGGAAUACAUCGGAAUCUACUCUGUCGUGGGGGAUAACGUAGGGAAACUUACGCUAAUACCGCAUACGACCUACUGGUGAAAGCAGGGGACCUUCGGGCCUUGCGCGAUUGAAUGAGCCGAUGUCGGAUUAGCUAGUAGGCGGGGUAAAGGCCCACCAAGGCGACGAUCCGUAGCUGGUCUGAGAGGAUGAUCAGCCACACUGGAACUGAGACACGGUCCAGACUCCUACGGGAGGCAGCAGUGGGGAAUAUUGGACAAUGGGCGCAAGCCUGAUCCAGCCAUACCGCGUGGGUGAAGAAGGCCUUCGGGUUGUAAAGCCCUUUUGUUGGGAAAGAAAUCCAGCUGGCUAAUACCCGGUUGGGAUGACGGUACCCAAAGAAUAAGCACCGGCUAACUUCGUGCCAGCCGCCGCCGUAA
Molecule: ribosomal RNA, 506 nt
Filed under: uncultured bacterium
Lineage: Bacteria
Description: partial 16S ribosomal RNA
Rfam family: Bacterial small subunit ribosomal RNA
Source: RNAcentral